Molecule: ribosomal RNA, 537 nt
Filed under: Thaumatevania ensifera
Lineage: Eukaryota; Metazoa; Arthropoda; Insecta; Hymenoptera; Evaniidae
Description: eukaryotic LSU rRNA
Source: RNAcentral
UAGAGAGAGNUCAAGAGUACGUGAAACCGUUCAGGGGUAAACCUGAGAAACCCGAAAGAUCGAAUGGGGAGAUUCAUCGUCAGCGACGUCGGCUUCGCGGCGGCUCGCGAUGCGCGCGGCUCCCGUGAGGGCGUCGCCGCACGCGUCCGUCGUGCAACCCGUACAUGUCCGGCGGCGUCGGCGUGCACUUCUCCCCUAGUAGGACGUCGCGACCCGUUGGGUGUCGGUCUACGGCCCGGGUAGUCGCCUGUCCCGCCGCUUCGGCGUCGCGUGGCAGACUCCCGGCAGCCCGGCCGGCUGCCCGGCGGUACUCGCACGGUAUCUGGCCGCAAUCGAACUGCGUCCGAGGCCCGCCGCAAGCGCGGUCAGUGUAAACCCGGAGGUACGGACCUAGCGCCGUCCCCGGGCCUGGCCCGCUGUUCGCCCGAGCGGUGCCCUCCGACAGGCCACGCUGGCGCGCGUCUCGCGCGCGCGUCGCCCUUGAUACCGGUCGGCGACGCUACUGCUUUGGGUACUUUCAGGACCCGUCUUGAAACA